RNAcentral lists this long non-coding RNA (969 nucleotides) under Salmo salar (Atlantic salmon). Its description in RNAcentral is "lncRNA (ENSSSAG00000119848.1)". Lineage: Eukaryota; Metazoa; Chordata; Actinopteri; Salmoniformes; Salmonidae. The record is from RNAcentral.
CAAAAUGUAGCGCACAUUUCUCAGCAACAUUAGAAGCAGGAUAAAUGUGUUGAUUUGAAGGACAGACUGACAGACUGGUAAGUCAGAACAAAUUCUUAUUAACAAUGACGGCCUACCCCGGCCAAACCUUGACGACGCUGGGCCAAUUGUGCGCCGCCCUAUGGGACUCCCAACCAUGCAGCCUGGACUCUAACCAGGUACUGCAGUGACGCAAGAGGCGGGACUCUGCACCACUCGGGAGGUGGCUGAGCUGAAACAGAAAGUAAAGUUGUUCUUUUGUUCAGGAUCCAUUUUGAGACGACAGAGCAGAAAACACUAUAUGGAGACUAUUGAAAAAUAAAGAUCCAUUUUGAGACGACAGAGCAGAAGACGCUAUAUGGAGAUUACUGACAAAUAAUGAGGAGCAGCCAAAAACUGAAGCAAGAUUCAGUACAACGUCAUGAGUCACUGCUGUUGAAUGCAUCUGACUGUUGAAUCUCCAACCACCUCAGAGAUCAGUCUCUCCAGUACCCAGUCAUCUGUCCAUGAAGAGCGACUUCUCUAUGGAUCGUCCAAUACAUUUUAGUGAUGGAUCAGGGACCUUUGACCCCAGGAACACAUCAACAACAGCCACCCUCGAAGCAUCGUUACCCAUCGCUCCACAAAAGCCGCAGCCCUUGCAGAGCAAAGGGGAACAACUACUUCAAGGUCUCAGAGCGAGUGACAUCACCGAUUGAAACGCUAUUAGCGUGCACCGGGUAGUCAGCCUGCCACACAGGCUCCUCGUGGAGUGCAAUGUAAGGCAGGUGGUUAGAGCGUUGGACUAGUAACCAGAAGGUUGCAAAAACGAAUCCCCGAGCUGACAAGGUAAAAAUCUGUCAUUCUGCCCCUGAACAAGGCAGUUAACCCACUGUUGCUAGGCCGUCAUUGGAAAUAAGAAUGUGUUCUUAACUGACUUGCCUAGUUAAACAAAGGUGUAAAAAGAAAUCG